Molecule: ribosomal RNA, 117 nt
Filed under: Paramormyrops kingsleyae
Lineage: Eukaryota; Metazoa; Chordata; Actinopteri; Osteoglossiformes; Mormyridae
Source: RNAcentral
GUCAGUAGUCAUGCCACCUGCUGUUCAGACUAGGUAACCCAUCUGAAGCUAAGCAGGUUUGGACCUGGCCAGAACUUGGAUGGGAAAACAACUAGGAAAGUUGAGUUGCUGCUGGAA